This is a small nucleolar RNA of Pelobates fuscus (common spadefoot toad), 105 nucleotides long. RefSeq annotates it as small nucleolar RNA SNORA23. The transcript has a single exon. Lineage: Eukaryota; Metazoa; Chordata; Amphibia; Anura; Pelobatidae. The record is from RefSeq and is a predicted model, not a curated record.
GUAUGUCUGUGUGUAUAUAUGUGUGUGUAUGUCAGUAUGUCUGUGUAUGACAGACAUACUGACAUACACACAGACAUAUACACACACAGACAUACUGACACACAU